This 301-nucleotide ribosomal RNA is filed under the name uncultured bacterium. Its description in RNAcentral is "partial 16S ribosomal RNA". It matches the Rfam family "Bacterial small subunit ribosomal RNA", at positions 509 to 807 of the family's 1533-position model. The record is from RNAcentral.
CAGUAGCCGCGGGAAAACGUAGGUGGCAAGCGUUGUCCGGAAUUAUUGGGCGUAAAGCGCGCGCAGGUGGUUUAAUAAGUCUGAUGUGAAAGCCCACGGCUCAACCGUGGAGGGUCAUUGGAAACUGUUAAACUUGAGUGCAGGAGAGAAAAGUGGAAUUCCUAGUGUAGCGGUGAAAUGCGUAGAGAUUAGGAGGAACACCAGUGGCGAAGGCGGCUUUUUGGCCUGUAACUGACACUGAGGCGCGAAAGCGUGGGGAGCAAACAGGAUUAGAUACCCCUGUAGUCCCUGUCUCUUAUAC